Molecule: transfer RNA, 72 nt
Filed under: Chloroflexota bacterium
Lineage: Bacteria; Bacillati; Chloroflexota
Description: Chloroflexi bacterium tRNA-Pro
Rfam family: tRNA
About the family: Transfer RNA (tRNA) molecules are approximately 80 nucleotides in length. Their secondary structure includes four short double-helical elements and three loops (D, anti-codon, and T loops). Further hydrogen bonds mediate the characteristic L-shaped molecular structure. tRNAs have two regions of fundamental functional importance: the anti-codon, which is responsible for specific mRNA codon recognition, and the 3' end, to which the tRNAs corresponding amino acid is attached (by aminoacyl-tRNA synthetases). tRNAs cope with the degeneracy of the genetic code in two manners: having more than one tRNA (with a specific anti-codon) for a particular amino acid; and 'wobble' base-pairing, i.e. permitting non-standard base-pairing at the 3rd anti-codon position.
Source: RNAcentral
CGGGGUGUGGCGCAGCUGUAGCGCGCCUGUUUUGGGAACAGGAGGCCCUCGGUUCGAUCCCGAGCACCCCGA